CUCAAGAUACAAAAUUUUGUUAUUUUUUGUACUUAUUUUUCGUUUUUAAUUAUUUGUUCCGAUUCUAAGGUUAUAUAUUUCGACUAACAUCACCGCUAGAUCUGUGAUUCAGCCUAGUGCCUUAUUCACUUGAUGUUUUAGUAUUAUUCUUUUCUAAUCGGAAGAAAAGUUGUUUACAUUGGUGUUGUUACUUUCCUCCUUUAUUGACAAAUAGAAUCUCUUUUCUUGUUCCUAAAACUGGUCAGGUAUCACCUUCUAAAAUCUUGAAAAGAAGAGAUUGAAAGUCCAUGAUUGAGAAGUUGUUGUUGAUGCUUCUCGAUCAAGAUUAUCGAGUUAGAUUAUGCUUUGCUUAAUGGGUUGGUGUGAUUUUCCAAACUUGGGAUGGUCAUUCUGAACUGUUCCAGGACAUAUGGUACAAUGCUUAGUUUUUAUUUUUAAUGCACUAUUACCUUUUUUAAGUAUGUCGAAAACUAACGCUUGGCCAGAAAUAACCAUCCAUAUAAAUCUCAAGUGAAAUAGCAUGGUUAUUAGUUUAUCACA
This is a long non-coding RNA of Solanum lycopersicum (tomato), 540 nucleotides long. RefSeq lists it as uncharacterized. Lineage: Eukaryota; Viridiplantae; Streptophyta; Magnoliopsida; Solanales; Solanaceae. The record is from RefSeq and is a predicted model, not a curated record.